This 1133-nucleotide unclassified non-coding RNA is filed under the name Melitaea cinxia (Glanville fritillary). RNAcentral's name for it is "misc RNA ENSMCXG00005005999.1". Lineage: Eukaryota; Metazoa; Arthropoda; Insecta; Lepidoptera; Nymphalidae. The record is from RNAcentral.
GGCAGGUAGGCUCCUUAUAGGACGUAGACAUCCGCUAAGAACGGAUUUUACGAAACUCAACCCCUAAGGGGGUAAAACGGGGGUUGCAAGUUUGUAUGAAAUUCCUAUGUUUUUGAAGUAAGAGACUUGAAAUUUAAAAUGUAUGCUCUAUAGAUGAUGAGAAGGUGUUCAAAUAAUGUAUCUUUAGAAAUCAACUCCCUUUUGGGGUUAAAAUGGGGUAUGGUAGGUUGACUCACUCAUCACGAAAUCUCUGAAACUAUAACAGCUACAAACUUGAAAAUUUGCAGAUAGGUUCCUUAUAGGGCGUAAACAUCCGCUGAGAACGGAUUUUACGAAACUCGACCCAUAAGGGGAUACAACGGGGUUGGAAGUUUGUAUGAAAGUCCUAUGUUAUUAAGGUAAGAGACUUGAAAUUUAAAAUGUAUGCUCUAUAGAUGGCGAGGAAGUGUCCAAAUAAUACAUCGUAAUCUAUAUACAUAAAAGAGAAAGGUCACUGACUCACUCAUCACGAGAACUCAAAAACCGCUGGAUGGUCCAUCCAUCCAUGAUGGACAAAUAUGAAAUUUGGCAGGGAUGUAGAUUAUAGUUAGUAGACGUCCGCUAAGAACGGAUUUUGCGAUAUUCCAUCGCUAAGGGGGUUUAGUUGAGGUUGAUAGUUUGUAUGAAACAUAUACAGCAGCUAUAAGUUCGCCUGAUAGGUUAUUCAUACUGCAGCUUGAAAAUAAAACUAAAAAUGUGGUGUAUAGAGAGGUUUUAUAAAAAUAACUAUUAAAUUAUACUAAAUUGUGCCUUUGAAAAAUUUACUCAGGGUGAUAAGCAUUUCAAGUGACUGAAACAAAAAAAUAAUUUGCGUUAAGCAUCUUAAUAGUAAUGCAUAUCUUCAUAACCACGCGGACGUGGUCGCGGGCAACAGUUAGUGUAUUAUAAAACAAAGUUCCCAAAAGCGUAUGUGAUCGAUUCCCUCAAAAUCUACUGAACGGAUUUUCAUGCGGUUUCACAAAUGGAGAGAGGGCUUCAAGAGGAAGGUUUACGGAACGGCAAAGCCGAUUUUGAUGAAAGUUUCACUGGAAGUUUACCGGGAAAAAUUUGUGACAAACUGAUUUCAACGCGGGCGAAGCCGCGGGCACAGCUAG